AAUAUUGGACAAUGGGCGAAAGCCUGAUCCAGCCAUGCCGCGUGUGUGAAGAAGGUCANCGGUUUNUNAAGCACAUUAAGUUGGGNGGAAGGGCAGUAAGUUAAUACCUUGCUGUUUUGACGUUACCGAUAGAAUAAUCACCGGCUAACUUCGUUCCAGCCGCCGCGGUAGUACGAAGGGUGCAAGCGUUAAUCGGAAUUACUGGGCGUAAAGCGCGCGUAGGUGGUUCGUUAAGUUGGAUGUAAAAGCCCCGGGCUCAACCUGGGAACUGCAUCCAAAACUGGCGAGCUAGAGUACGGUAGAGGGUGGUGGAAUUUCCUGUGUAGCGGUGGAAUGCGUAGAUAUAGGAAGGAACACCAGUGGCGAAGGCGACCACCUGGACUGAUACUGACACUGAGGUGCGAAAGCGUGGGGAGCAAACAGG
Molecule: ribosomal RNA, 424 nt
Filed under: uncultured bacterium
Lineage: Bacteria
Description: partial 16S ribosomal RNA
Rfam family: Bacterial small subunit ribosomal RNA
Source: RNAcentral